GAUGAACGCUGGCGGCGUGCCUAAUACAUGCAAGUCGAGCGAACAGACGAGGAGCUUGCUCCUCUGACGUUAGCGGCGGACGGGUGAGUAACACGUGGAUAACCUACCUAUAAGACUGGGAUAACUUCGGGAAACCGGAGCUAAUACCGGAUAAUAUAUUGAACCGCAUGGUUCAAUAGUGAAAGACGGUUUUGCUGUCACUUAUAGAUGGAUCCGCGCCGCAUUAGCUAGUUGGUAAGGUAACGGCUUACCAAGGCAACGAUGCGUAGCCGACCUGAGAGGGUGAUCGGCCACACUGGAACUGAGACACGGUCCAGACUCCUACGGGAGGCAGCAGUAGGGAAUCUUCCGCAAUGGGAAAGCAUGACGGAGCAACGCCGCGUGAGUGAUGAAGGUCUUCGGAUCGUAAAACUCUGUUAUUAGGGAAGAACAAAUGUGUAAGUAACUAUGCACGUCUUGACGGUACCUAAUCAGAAAGCCACGGCUAACUACGUG
RNAcentral lists this ribosomal RNA (495 nucleotides) under uncultured bacterium. RNAcentral describes it as "partial 16S ribosomal RNA". It matches the Rfam family "Bacterial small subunit ribosomal RNA", at positions 28 to 507 of the family's 1533-position model. The record is from RNAcentral.